AUUGAACGCUGGCGGCAGGCCUAACACAUGCACGUCGAACGAGUGGCGGACGGGUGAGUAAUGUCUGGGCAACUGACAGAUGGAGGGGGAUAACUACUGGAAACGGUAGAUAAUACCGCAUACCAUCGGAUGUGCCCAGAUGGGAUUAGCUAGUAGGUGGGGUAACGGCACACCUAGGCGACGAUCCCUAGCUGGUCUGAGAGGAUGACAGGCCACACUGGAACUGAGAAACGGCCAAGACACCUACGGGAGGCAGCAGUGUGGGAUAUGACACAAUUGGCGCAAGCCUGAUGCAGGCAUGCCGCGUGUAUGAAGAAGGCCUUGGGGUUGUAAAGUACUUUCAGCGGGGAGGCGUUAUCCGAAGUAGAAGCACCGGCUAAAUCCGUGUCAGCAGCCGCGGUAAUUC
RNAcentral lists this ribosomal RNA (406 nucleotides) under uncultured bacterium. Its description in RNAcentral is "partial 16S ribosomal RNA". It matches the Rfam family "Bacterial small subunit ribosomal RNA", at positions 30 to 526 of the family's 1533-position model. The record is from RNAcentral.